This is a long non-coding RNA of Helianthus annuus (common sunflower), 770 nucleotides long. RefSeq lists it as uncharacterized. The record is from RefSeq and is a predicted model, not a curated record. Lineage: Eukaryota; Viridiplantae; Streptophyta; Magnoliopsida; Asterales; Asteraceae. The transcript is spliced from 2 exons.
UCGUUAAACUUUUUGCUUUCGGACUCAACUAGUAAAAACCACUAAAACACAGGGACUCAAAAAGUAAUUUACCCUAAUCUAUAUGUUAAAUAGUUAAUUAUGAAUCAUGAUUAUAAAAAACAUUAUCUUUACAAUAAAAAUCUGUAUUUUAUUAAUACAAAUUAACUCUUUAUAACGAAAUGUGUUAAAAUUGUCACUUCUACUAUAUACACACUCACCAUGUAUUUCUGGACUUCUAAUCAUGUCCAUUAUCGGCUUGUAUAUGUCUACAUAGAAGAUUCUGCUUCCUUUAAGAGACAUCUGUAUUUGAAACCCAAUAGGUGGAAGCCCGGCUAUUAGCAUUGUUCUGCAACCAAGUGUAUGAAGCUCCUGCAGUUCAUCAUACAAGUUUCAGUUUUCACAAACUUUUAUACACGUAAAUGCACAUAUAUGUAUUCACACUAUACAGUUAAUAUCAGUGAUAUAUCACCGAUAUAUCGGUUAUCGGUCACCGAUAUAUCGGUAUUCACACUGUACAGUUAAUAUCGGUGAUAUAUCACCGAUAUAUCGGUUAUCGGUCACCAUGUAAAAUAUCGGAGUCAAAUGUCGGUCAGAAUAUCGGUACCAGUAUUAUUGGCGAUAUUGACCAAUAUUUGACUGAUAUAUCACCGAUUUCCUGAUUUCUUCUUAUUGAUGCUACUAGUGUUUUAAGUCGUAAUUAAUAAUUGUAAGUGCGAAAUGUUAGUGUUUUAAGUCUUAAUCAGUUCCUACUUUCUACAAUUGUUAGUGUU